UACGUAGGGGGCCAGCGUUGUUCGGAAUUACUGGGUGUAAAGGGCGCGUAGGCGGCGGGGUAAGUCUGGUGUGAAAUCUCGGAGCUCAACUCCGAAAUUGCACUGGAUACUGCUCUGCUAGAGGGCUGGAGAGGAGAUCGGAAUUCACGGUGUAGCAGUGAAAUGCGUAGAUAUCGUGAGGAAGACCAGUGGCGAAGGCGGAUCUCUGGACAGCUCCUGACGCUGAGGCGCGAAGGCUAGGGGAGCAAACGGG
This 253-nucleotide ribosomal RNA is filed under the name uncultured bacterium. RNAcentral describes it as "partial 16S ribosomal RNA". It matches the Rfam family "Bacterial small subunit ribosomal RNA", at positions 524 to 776 of the family's 1533-position model. The record is from RNAcentral.